Molecule: non-coding RNA, 1718 nt
Organism: Oryctolagus cuniculus (rabbit)
Lineage: Eukaryota; Metazoa; Chordata; Mammalia; Lagomorpha; Leporidae
Source: RefSeq, a predicted model, not a curated record
CCGGCCGGGAGCCGGCGAGCGGAAGCCGCGGCGCGGUGGCUUCUGGGAGAUGGGGCCGGGGUGCGCAGGCGCGAUCUCGCCGCGGCGGGCCGGGGGCGGGCACGGCAGAAGCCGGGGGAGCCUCCCGCACCUGCGAGGGUAUGGGCCUUUUACCGAGCUAGUCCAGGCUGGGAUGGCUGUUUGACGAACAGCAGCUGAAACUCUGGCUGUUCAGGGUACCCAGGGACAAGAGAAGAUUACCAUGUUGGAGCCAAAGGAAGAGGAGCAGCCUUGGGAUUGCGAGGGCAGGCCACCUGGGAACCACUCUGCGAGUCAAGAGGUCUUCCGCCAGCGCUUCAGGCAGCUCUGCUACCAGGAGACUCCUGGUCCCCGGGAGGCCCUGAGCCAGCUGCGAGUGCUCUGCUGCGAGUGGCUGAGGCCAGAGAGGCACAGCAAGGAGCAGAUCGUGGAGCUGCUGGUGCUGGAGCAGUUCCUGGCCAUCCUGCCUGAGCAGCUGCGGGCCUGGGUGCGGGGACGUCACCCCAGGAGCGGAGAGGAGGCCGUGACUGUGCUGGAGGAUUUAGAGAAAGCACUUGAACCAGAACCGCAGGUGGGAAGGGGGAUUGGAUCUGUUGCGGGAGCCACGUCAGCGACCUCCAGGCUGGACAGAGGGGCAGCAGUAGGGGGAGUUGCCAAGUUCCGGCCCGGCCAGGGGGCUCUCUGAAGUCUCCUCGGGAACGUCGGUCCCACAUAAACCGAGUGGUGCCUGAUCACCUCCAGGUCCCAGGCCCCGCACGUGGACCUGCGCAGGAAGAGCCAUGGGAGAAGCCGCCGCCUCUGGGAGCAACUCAGGAGACACGGGACAUUCCGCUGCAGCCUACGGAGCCCCGGCUCAAGUGUGAAUCUCGGGACCCCCAGCCUUUCCCACUGAGUGCACAGGAGUAUUUACAUUUUCCGCCAGUUGUUAUAGAAGACGGCGCAGAGCCCAAGGACAAAGGGGCGUUGCUAGAACCACCCAGUACUGAAGUGGAAUCACCGGCGUCCUCAGAAACACCAGCCACCGCCUCCCUCACCUCCGCAUUCGAAGCUACCUCUCAAGUUGAAGGCGCCUUAGAACAGCAGCAGAGAAAUCCCAAAGCGGGGAGACCAAGGCAGUCCCCUGCCCAGGGAGCGAGUUUGAGGCAGAUGGUCGUCACCCACAAGAAAGCUCCCCCAGGGAAGAAAGACCAUGAAUGUAAUGAAUGCGGUAAAGCCUUCAUUUAUAACUCACACCUUGUAAUCCACCAGCGGAUCCAUUCUGGAGAGAAGCCCUACAAAUGCAGUGACUGUGGGAAAACUUUCAACCAGAGCUCAAACCUCAUUCAGCACCAGAGGAUUCACACAGGGGAGAAGCCCUACGAAUGCAGCGAGUGCGGGAAGGCCUUCAGGUGGGGCGCUCAUCUUGUCCAGCACCGGAGGAUCCACUCCGGAGAGAAGCCCUAUGAGUGUAAGAAGUGCGGGAGGGCCUUCAGCCAGAGCUCCUAUCUGAGUCAGCAUCUGCGAAUCCACAGUGGAGAGAAGCCCUUCGUUUGUCAAAGAUGCGGGAAGGCCUACAGGUGGAGCUCAGAGCUUAUCAGACACCAGAGAGUUCAUGCUGGCCCAGCGCCUGCCCAGUCUGUGCAGGGUGAGCGAGUCUCCAGAAAGACGUCUGUCUGAUCUUUAGGAUUGGAUUCCAUAAAAGUUAAAAGCGUUUUAAGGUU